RNAcentral lists this ribosomal RNA (901 nucleotides) under uncultured bacterium. RNAcentral describes it as "bacterial SSU rRNA". It matches the Rfam family "Bacterial small subunit ribosomal RNA", at positions 56 to 969 of the family's 1533-position model. The record is from RNAcentral.
UGCAGUCGACGGUGGUAGCAAUACCAUAGUGGCGCACGGGUGCGUAACGCGUAACCNACCUACCCAUCACUGGGGGAUAGCCCGCCGAAAGGCGGAUUAAUACCGCAUAAAACAACAGCCCGGCAUCGGGCAAUUGUUAAAGAUUUAUUGGUGGUGGAUGGGGUUGCGUGCCAUUAGCUAGUUGGGGGGGUAACGGCCCACCAAGGCGACGAUGGCUAGGGGAGCUGAGAGGCUGGUCCCCCACACGGGCACUGAGAUACGGGCCCGACUCCUACGGGAGGCAGCAGUAGGGAAUAUUGGGCAAUGGCCGAGAGGCUGACCCAGCCAUGCCGCGUGCAGGACGAAGGCUUUCUGAGUCGUAAACUGCUUUUGCCAGGGAAGAAAAAAGCGGAUGCGUCCGCUACUGACGGUACCUGGUGAAUAAGCACCGGCUAACUCCGUGCCAGCAGCCGCGGUAAUACGGAGGGUGCAAGCGUUGUCCGGAUUUAUUGGGUUUAAAGGAUGCGUAGGCGGCCGCUUAAGUCUGGGGUGAAAGCCCGUUGCUCAACAACGGAACUGCCCUGGAAACUGGUCGGCUUGAGUACAGACGAGGGUGGCGGAAUGGAUGCUGUAGCGGUGAAAUGCAUAGAUAGCAUCCAGAACCCCGAUUGCGAAGGCAGCUGCCUAGACUGUAACUGACGCUGAGGCACGAAAGCGUGGGGAGCGAACAGGAUUAGAUACCCUGGUAGUCCACGCCGUAAACGAUGGAUACUCGCUGGUGGCGACAGACGGUCACUGGCUUANCGAAAGCGUUAAGUAUCCCACCUGGGGAGUACGCUCGCAAGAGUGAAACUCAAAAGAAUUGACGGGGGCCCGCACAAGUGGUGGAGCAUGUGGUUUAAUUCGAUGAUACGCGAGGAAC